AACGAACGCUGGCGGCGCGCCUAACACAUGCAAGUCGAACGAGAAUCCGGGGCAACCCGGUAGUAAAGUGGCAAACGGGUGAGGAAUACAUGGGUAACCUACCCUUGAGAAGGGAAUAACCCGCCGAAAGGUGAGCUAAUACCCUAUACGCUAUCUUUUUUUCGAAAGGAUAGGAAAGCCGGGUCGAGGACCUGGUACUCAAGGAGGGGCUCAUGUCCUAUCAGCUUGUUGGUGGGGUAACGGCCUACCAAGGCUACGACGGGUAGCUGGUCUGAGAGGAUAGAUCAGCCACACGUGGCACUGAGAUACGGGCCAGACUCCGUACGGGAGGCAGCAGUGGAGGAAUAUUGCGACAAGUGGGACGAAAGCCUGACGCAGCGACGCCGCGGUGGGGAUGUAAGGUUUUCGGAUUACGUUAAACCCCCUUUCAUGGAGGAAAGAUAAAGGUGGGUAACCACUUA
This 461-nucleotide ribosomal RNA is filed under the name uncultured bacterium. RNAcentral's name for it is "bacterial SSU rRNA". It matches the Rfam family "Bacterial small subunit ribosomal RNA", at positions 29 to 468 of the family's 1533-position model. The record is from RNAcentral.